Long non-coding RNA from Cicer arietinum (chickpea), 608 nucleotides. RefSeq lists it as uncharacterized. Lineage: Eukaryota; Viridiplantae; Streptophyta; Magnoliopsida; Fabales; Fabaceae. The record is from RefSeq and is a predicted model, not a curated record.
AUAAAAAAUUAAAGAUAUAUUGUAACUUCAAGUAAUCAAUUACACCAGCUAAAGGGACAAACAUGAUCCUUGGUUGUACUAAAAACUAUUCAAUUGAAAUAAGCACAGCGUGGGAUUUUUCCCAUGGUAAGUGAUCAAACAAUUUUGUAUUUGUUGCAUGCAAAGGUAGAGUAAAAAAUGGCUAAAACUCUGGUUUUUUAUACUAUGAUCCUUUUUGUGUUCUUAUGUCUUGCUCUAGUCGAUGUUGGUGCUAUAACAUAUACGUCAGACAACGAUUGUCUAACUUACGAGUGUCCCCUUAAUCGUCGUGGAUUUUGCAUAGAUGGUAGUUGUAAGUGCUUAUAGUACAAGUAAAGAUUGCCAUUGAAGUUCAUAAGUAUUAUUAUAUCUCUUCAGGUGCCUCUUAUGGACGAAGGGAUUGUUGCCCCUAUUGGCUUAUUUACAUCAGUUGCAGUUUGUUUUUUUAAAUGGCCCAAAAUUUGUUUCUAGGGUUCUAAAUCUCAUUGAGAAGAUGUUUCAUAUCAAAUCCUAUAUCAUUUUAAGUGUAUCGAACAUUGUGACUGAUUUAUAUUAAUUAUUGUAUCUCUACUAUAGGGAUUUUUCAUUCA